ACAAAGCCCUGCAGAUCUGCUGCUUUUCCUGAUUCUCCUGUCCUGAGUGAGUGCAAGGGGCUCCCCUGUCGUCGAUGUGUUCUUUGAAGCAGAUGCUGUGCCUGAUACCUGCUGGAGAGUCCCACCGCCUUGAGUGAGUCAACAAACCUAUCAUCCUUCCCAUCUUCCAGGAUGGAUAUUGGGGUGGGGGGAGGUUAAAGGGAAUACCAUAAAGUUGCUACCAUACGGUUAGGGCUGAAUACAAUGGGAGUACUUAUUGUGAUGAUGUCAAUGAUGAUGACAGUGAUGAUGAUGAUGAUGAUGAUAUCUAGAACUCCAGGUUUUCCUGGAGAGAACCAAGGAGGAUUCCCCACUUACCUAAUAAAUAAAUGUCCUGUAAAUGCAGAACAUGCCAUGUAAUUGAUGACACAAGCGGGAUCUCACUUCUGGGGGAUGAGAAUCAAUUCUUUAUGGAUUCCCACAGGGCAGAGGGACCCGGGUGGAGAUACUAAGCUGUCUGUUGUAUUUCCGAACGAAUGAGUACGUACGUAACAGUUAUCGUGUCUCCUUGUAACUCGUGUGCUAAUCAUAAAAUCUUCACAAGGAUUCAUGACAUUCGUGCUAUGACUAUUCUCAUUUUACAGUGAGGAAGGCGGGACACCUAGGAAUUAAGUAACUUGCCAACAUAGGGACGAGCUCACCACACAACAACCAAGGGUGGGGAUACCAGUCAGGUACUGCGGAAAACACUGGACAUGAGGAGAGACUGAUCACCUGCAUAAUCACUGCUGAAAGGUCAUGUAAGGUGGAGACAGAAAAGUAUACAUGGAUUUGGCAAAAAAAAGGAUUUGCUGGGGAAGAGGGGGUGAAACUCUGAAUUGAGUGAGGAGAGAAAGGGGAAAGAAAUUGAAGACAGAACAGACACUGCUUUCUAGAAAUAAAGCUAUAGCUGGAGGGGGAAAUGAGGUCAAGAGAGAUUUCCUUAUUUGUUAAGAUGGGAAAAAUAAUAGCCCAUCCGUGUACUUGUUGAUAGAAAUAAUUUGGUAGAAAGAGAAAAAUUGAUGAUGCAAGAGAGAAUGAGAAGGAAUUUGGUGGGGUAGAAAGAAGGCUAGAACCUACUGCUCAAAGAGAGGGUUUGGCUAUGGUGAGGGAGAAUCUAUCUACAUGACAGGACAUUGACCAGGCACGGAGGUAUGCUCUUGUAGUUUUCAUACUUUGUAAUAAAAGAAACAUCAAUUUUAAAAACUCAACAACAAAUAGAACAUGAAAAUAGUCUGUCUACUUAAAACCUUAAAACAUUACAGAUGAAACUAAAGUCUCCUUUGGUGAUGUUGUGGGAUUUUAUUUAUUUUGAUGUCUGAGAACUAUUCCAUUGUAUGGAUAUACCAUAGGUUGUUCAUCCAUUCACCUGUUGAGGGAAAUUUGUUUUGUUUUCCACAUUGGCUGUGACAAACACAACUGCUGUAAACAUUUGUGUACAUGUUUUUGUAUGGAUGUAAGUUUUUCUUUUGUCUAAAGUAAAUAGUUAAUUUACUGCUGGGUGAUAUGGUAACUGUAUGCUUACCCUUAUAAGAAACUGUCAAACUUUCUCCAAAGUGACCAUACAAUCCAUUUUGCAUUUCCGCCAGCAAUGUAUGCAUGAGAGACCAGUUGAUCCUCAUCCUUUCCCCUGCUGGUAUUGUCAGUAUUUUUAGUUUAGCUGCUCUAACAUGUGAGUCAUGGUGUCUCCUCAUAGCUUUAAUUUGCAUGUCCCUAAUGACUAAUGAUGCUGAGCAUCUUUCCGUGUGCUCAUUCUUUUCUCCACUUCUUAAUCGGAUUCUUUGUUUUCUUACUGUUGAGUUUAGAGCCACCUUUAUACAUUCUAGGUACAACCUUUUAGAUCAAAUAUGUAAUUUGCAAAUAUUUUCUCCCAGUCUAUAUCUGGUCUUUUCAUCCUCUUUAACAAUAUAUUUUGCAGAAUAAAAGUAUUUUGAUG
RNAcentral lists this long non-coding RNA (1954 nucleotides) under Homo sapiens (human). RNAcentral's name for it is "non-protein coding lnc-BCL2L11-3:2". Lineage: Eukaryota; Metazoa; Chordata; Mammalia; Primates; Hominidae. The record is from RNAcentral.